GACGAACGCUGGCGGCGUGCCUAAUACAUGCAAGUAGAACGCUGAAGGAGGAGCUUGCUUCUCCGGAUGAGUUGCGAACGGGUGAGUAACGCGUAGGUAACCUGCCUGGUAGCGGGGGAUAACUAUUGGAAACGAUAGCUAAUACCGCAUAACAGUAGAUAUUGCAUGAUAUCUGCUUGAAAGGUGCAAUUGCAUCACUACCAGAUGGACCUGCGUUGUAUUAGCUAGUUGGUGAGGUAACGGCUCACCAAGGCGACGAUACAUAGCCGACCUGAGAGGGUGAUCGGCCACACUGGGACUGAGGCACGGCCCAGACUCCUACGGGAGGCAGCAGUAGGGAAUCUUCGGCAAUGGACGGAAGUCUGACCGAGCAACGCCGCGUGAGUGAAGAAGGUUGUCGGAUCGUAAAGCUCGGUUGUAAGAGAAGAACGAGUGUGAGAGUGGAAAGUUCACACUGUGACGGUAUCUUACCAGAAAGGGACGGCUAACUACGUG
This 495-nucleotide ribosomal RNA is filed under the name uncultured bacterium. RNAcentral describes it as "partial 16S ribosomal RNA". It matches the Rfam family "Bacterial small subunit ribosomal RNA", at positions 28 to 507 of the family's 1533-position model. The record is from RNAcentral.